CUUCCAGAAUUCAGCGACUCCCUUAUCCUUCUAGAAUUCAGCGACCGUUUGCCUUCCUCCACCCCUGUGCCCGUCUGUUGCUGUCCUCCGCCCUCUCCGUCUCCCUUCUGCUCCUCUCCACAGAGCACAGUAAGGACCGGGAGAACUUCACAUCAAAUGACUAGUUAACUAGAUUUGAUAAAAGUUAGUAACUUUUUGACACAAGACCGGGAGAACUUCAGAUUAAAGGACUAGUUAACUAAGAGUUAAUAAAAGUUAGUAACACAGGACCGGGAGAAGUCAAACCGGUCUUUUCUACGGUACAGUGGGCCCGAACACGACUCUUGAAUGACAUGGGCUUCUAAAAAUGGGCUUUUAUUAAUGGGCUAUUUGGAGACUUAAAUUUGGCCGGAGAUGGAUGUUCUUCUAGUGCAGUCGCAAUUGACUACAACAUGCAAAAGCAAAAACAACUUUCAAGAAAUUCAGGCGCCGACCACCGCCAUCGAAAUGACAACCGGACCUAUUGGUCACCGGAUUCAUGUCAAAGACAAUCCCCCGUCAGCCCCGCUCUUCCGGACGCGAUGUUCGAUCGGGCCCCGGCCGUUGCGCAAGCUGACCUUCGCCCGGAAACCAUACUGCCCCUACACGAGAGACUCGCUGGAGUAACAGCCGGGUAAAACCGGGUUGCCCUCAAGACCGCACCAUGCCUCGGUAGGAACGAUCCAUCAUUGGGACGUCCUCCCCCCAUAACGCCACAGCCGUGGAUAGAACCCAUGACCUCCAAGGAGGAACCGGCCCAACCCCACCACAUGGGACCAACUGGACUAGGGGUUCGGAUAUGUUCAAAACAGUUUAAUC
This is a long non-coding RNA of Helianthus annuus (common sunflower), 837 nucleotides long. RefSeq lists it as uncharacterized. The record is from RefSeq and is a predicted model, not a curated record. Lineage: Eukaryota; Viridiplantae; Streptophyta; Magnoliopsida; Asterales; Asteraceae. The transcript has 3 exons.